UACGGAGGAUCCAAGCGUUAUCCGGAUUUAUUGGGUUUAAAGGGUGCGUAGGCGGCCUAUUAAGUCAGGGGUGAAAGACGGUGGCUCAACCAUCGCAGUGCCUUUGAUACUGAUAGGCUUGAAUACACUAGAGGUAGGCGGAAUGUGACAAGUAGCGGUGAAAUGCAUAGAUAUGUCACAGAACACCGAUUGCGAAGGCAGCUUACUAUGGUGUCAUUGACGCUGAGGCACGAAAGCGUGGGGAUCAAACAGG
RNAcentral lists this ribosomal RNA (253 nucleotides) under uncultured bacterium. Its description in RNAcentral is "partial 16S ribosomal RNA". It matches the Rfam family "Bacterial small subunit ribosomal RNA", at positions 524 to 776 of the family's 1533-position model. The record is from RNAcentral. RNAcentral also lists the same sequence under 1 other name.